RNAcentral lists this ribosomal RNA (664 nucleotides) under uncultured bacterium. RNAcentral's name for it is "bacterial SSU rRNA". It matches the Rfam family "Bacterial small subunit ribosomal RNA", at positions 186 to 851 of the family's 1533-position model. The record is from RNAcentral.
CCGCAUGGGGAUAUUUGCUAAAGAUUCAUCGCUGAUAGAUAGGCAUGCGUUCCAUUAGGCAGUUGGCGGGGUAACGGCCCACCAAACCGACGAUGGAUAGGGGUUCUGAGAGGAAGGUCCCCCACAUUGGUACUGAGACACGGACCAAACUCCUACGGGAGGCAGCAGUGAGGAAUAUUGGUCAAUGGGCGCGAGCCUGAACCAGCCAAGUCGCGUGAGGGAUGAAGGUUCUAUGGAUCGUAAACCUCUUUUAUAAGGGAAUAAAGUGUGGGACGUGUCCUAUUUUGUAUGUACCUUAUGAAUAAGGAUCGGCUAACUCCGUGCCAGCAGCCGCGGUAAUACGGAGGAUCCGAGCGUUAUCCGGAUUUAUUGGGUUUAAAGGGUGCGUAGGCGGCCUUUUAAGUCAGCGGUGAAAGUCUGUGGCUCAACCAUAGAAUUGCCGUUGAAACUGGGGGGCUUGAGUAUGUUUGAGGCAGGCGGAAUGCGUGGUGUAGCGGUGAAAUGCUUAGAUAUAACGCAGAACCCCGAUUGCGAAGGCAGCCUGCCAAGCCAUGACUGACGCUGAUGCACGAAAGCGUGGGGAUCAAACAGGAUUAGAUACCCUGGUAGUCCACGCAGUAAACGAUGAUCACUAGCUGUUUGCGAUACACAGUAAGCGGCACAG